RNAcentral lists this ribosomal RNA (498 nucleotides) under Bergeyella zoohelcum. RNAcentral's name for it is "bacterial SSU rRNA". It matches the Rfam family "Bacterial small subunit ribosomal RNA", at positions 9 to 496 of the family's 1533-position model. Lineage: Bacteria; Pseudomonadati; Bacteroidota; Flavobacteriia; Flavobacteriales; Weeksellaceae. The record is from RNAcentral.
GAGUUUGAUUAUGGCUCAGGAUGAACGCUAGCGGGAGGCCUAACACAUGCAAGCCGAGCGGGAUUUGUUGGUUAGCUUGCUAACUAAUAAUGAGAGCGGCGUACGGGUGCGUAACACGUGUGCAACCUGCCUUUAUCUGGGGGAUAGCCUUUCGAAAGGAAGAUUAAUACCCCAUAAUAUAUUAAUUGGCAUCAAUUGAUAUUGAAAGCUCCGGCGGAUAGAGAUGGGCACGCGUAAGAUUAGCUAGUUGGUGAGGUAACGGCUCACCAAGGCUGCGAUCUUUAGGGGGCCUGAGAGGGUGAUCCCCCACACUGGUACUGAGACACGGACCAGACUCCUACGGGAGGCAGCAGUGAGGAAUAUUGGACAAUGGGUGAGAGCCUGAUCCAGCCAUCCCGCGUGAAGGACUAAGGACCUAUGGUUUGUAAACUUCUUUUAUACAGGGAUAAACCUACUCUCGUGAGGGUAGCUGAAGGUACUGUAUGAAUAAAGCCCCGG